AAGAGCUCAAUGACUAGUAGAGAAAUGAGGUGGGUACUCCAGACAAGUAGGAAUAUAAUGUAGGUUUGUUUAAGAUGAUAUGAGAACCAGAGGAGGAACACCAUGAACUCUGUCUGGGAGGUUUCACUAUAAUCUCCCAAUGGAGAUAAUGUUAAAGUAGACCAUCAAAAUCACCUUGGAAAAUUAGGAAUCUGCUAGAUGGGAGAAAGUUUAUCUUAUGCAGAAGAGAAAACUGCACAUAAUCAUCAAGAUAUGAAAUAGAAUAAAAAAAUCCUUAUAUAACUAGAGUUUCAGAUCCAAACAUACAACAUUGAGAGACUAGGGUAAAAGAACAAUGAGAAUCAGAAAAUGAUUACAACAGUAUGGAAAUUCCUCAGAAACCUAAAAAUAGAACUACCAUUAAUCUAGCAGUCCUAUUCCUGGGUGUAUAUCUGGACCAGAACUGUAAUUCAAAAAGAUAUACACACCCAUAUGUUCAUAGCACACUAUUCACAAUACCCAAGAUAUGGAAACGACCUAAAUGCCCAGAAAGAUGAAUGGAUUAAAAUGACGUCACACACACACACACACACACACAUGCACACACACGCACCCACAAUGGAAUACUACUCAGCCAUAGAAAAGAACAUAAUAACGCCAUGUGCAGCAGCAUGGAUGCAACUAGAGAUUCUCAUCCUAAGUGAAGUAAGUCAAAAAGAGAAAGAUAAAUAUAUGCUAUCACUUAUAUGUGGAAUUUAAAACACUGCGCAAAUGAACCUACAUACAGAACAGAAAUAUACUUACAGACAUAGAGAACAGACUUGUGGUUGCCAGGGCUAGAGGGGAGAUGUAUUGGGAAUCUGGAAUUAGUGGAUGCAAACUAUUAUAUUUGGAGUAGAUAAACAAUAAGAUCAUUUUGUAUAGCACAGGGAACUAUAUCCAAUCUCCUAGGAUAGAUCAUGAUGGAAAAUAAUAUUAAAAAAAGAAUGUCAUAGUUCCUUUUCUGGCUCAGUGAUAAUAAAGCUGACUAGUAUCCAUGAGGACCUGGGUUCAAUUCCUGGCCUAACUCAGUGGGUUAAGAAUCUGGCAUUGCUGUGAGCUGUGGUGUAGGACAGAAGUUACAGCUCUGAAUUGACACCUAGCCUGGGAACUUCCAUAUACCACAAGUGCAGCCUUAAUAAUAGUAAGCAAAAAAAAGAUGAAUGAGAGAGAUGUCAUAUCAUGCUAAGUAUGGGUUUUAUUCUAUACGUAAUGAGGCAUCAGUGCUAAGUUUGUCUCUUGCUUUUCAUUUGUUUAUUUGGUUUGGCCAAACUUGUGGCACGCGGAAAUUCCUGGGCCAGGGAUCGAAACCAUACCACAGCAGCAACCCAAGUUGCUGCAGUGAUAACAACUAGAUACUUAACCCAUUGUUCCACAAGGGAACUCCAAGUUUUCCUCUUCUAAUUUAAAUGGGAAAGUAACAUUUUUUAAGGAAAGGUAAAAUUUUUAGAAAGUCAUAAAAUCUUGAAAAAGGGAAAUACAAGGAAACAUUUAUUGUAAUAUAUGGAAAAUUGCCAAAAAUAUGAUAGUACCACCUACUCUCAUCUAUAUAAUACUAGGGACUUAAUGAUGCAAAAAUUAGCAAUAAAGAUUACAAGUUCAAAUAAAAGUUUCUAAGUCCCUUCUUAGAGACUUGGUUUCAAAUAAUGUUGCAUAAAAAAUUGAAAAAUUGGGCUACAAAAUUGAGUAAUUAUUUCUGCUAUGAACAAAGGCUCACCAUCAUAAUAACAGUUCCAGGUUGGAAAGCACAAUAAAAAAUACAAAAAUUGGUGAUAAUCAGGGCAUCAAAUCAUCUAAGGUAGAAAACCAAAGGAAAACUACUUUACAUGCAUGAUUUCAAUAACAAUACAACUUGAUUUUUUAUUCAAAAUUGUAUUUUACUAUAACAGUUAAUGAAUUCUUUUCCCUUGAUAUGGUAGCUAUGAUAAUUGAGGACAAUAUCUAAAGCAUAGUAAAAAAUGUGAACUUCAGAAUAAAUUUAUCCAGCUCUUUUGAGUCAAUAAUAAACAAUUUUGAAGAUGGUGGGGGCAUGUUCCCUAUAAGGAGAAAAAAUAAUUUUAAUUAAUUAGCAUUUGAUUUGGGUGUUAUUUUCUAUGACUCUCCUUUGUUUUUUAAUUUCUACCAUAUGUUUAUUAUCUUUUAAAUUGUCUUUGAUAAAAUUUAAUUAGCUGAUAUUUGUAAAGCUGUCUAAGGAUGGGCUUUGUAUAAUUACUAGGUUUUUUUAAAUUAGUAAGUAUCAGUAUUUUCUCUGUAUGCUUGCUGCAUUGAAGAACAUUAAUUUUUAAAAUUGCUUUAGAAGCAAUGCUGAAUAGUUAUGUUGUGAGCCACACAGGCAGUCCAGAUUGGUACAACCACUAUGGAAAACAGUAUGGAGGUACCUCAGAAAAAUAAAUAUAGAACUACCAUAUAAUCCAGCAAUCCCACUCUUAGGCAUAUAUCCACACAACUUUCCUUGAAAUAGACACAUGCACCCAUAUGUUCAUUGCAGUACUAUUCACAAUAGCCAAGAUACGGCAACAACCUAAAUGUCCAUCGACAGAUGAAUGGAUUAACAAGAUGUGGUAUAUAUACACAAUGGAGUACUACUUAGCCAUAAAAAAGAACAAAAUAAUGCGAUUUUCAGCAACAUGGAUGGAACUAGAGCCUCUCAUACUAAGUGAAGUAAGUCAGAAAGAGAAAUACAAAUACCAUAUGAUAUCACCUCUCUCUGGAAUCUAAUAUAUGGCAUAAAUGAAUCUUUCCCCCAAAAAGAAAGUCAUGGACUUGGGGAACAGACUUGUUGUUGCCAAGAGGGAGGGAGUAGGAAUGGGAUGGACUGGAAGACUGGGGUUAGAUGCAAACUAUUACAUUUGGAAUGGAUAAGCAAUGAGAUCCUGCUGUAUAGCGCAGGGAACUAUAUCUAGUCACUUAUGAUGGAGCAUGAUGGAGGAUAAUGUAAGAAAAACAAUGUAUACAUAUGUGUGACUGGGUCACUUUGCUGUACAGUAGAAAUUGAAAGAACACUGCAAACCACGUAUAAUAGAAAAAAUAAAAAUUCAAAAAAAAAAAAAAUAAAUGAUGAUAAUAAUAUGAAUUUCAUGAGUAAAAACCCAUUUGGUAAGUAUCAGUUGUUGAUUAGGCAUUAAUAGCAGAAGCACAUGUUUCUCUUCUCUCUCUGGAAUAAUGUUAGUUGACCACCUCUAGACUCUAAAGUUCUGGCAGCAUGGUGCUGUCUAAUUGCCCCAGAGCUAAAAUAACUGGCACACAUAUACUAUUACAUUAACUAUACUGAAGUGUUUUAAAGUAAAUAAUACGCAUUUUAACAAAUGUGCUGGAAGUAGCAUAGAAUUUUGAAAAAAAGUCCAUUUAGCAAAUACUUGCUGAGGUAUGUAAUGUUUUGAAAGUGAUUUAACCUCCUGUGUCCUAAUGAAUUCAUCCAUAAAGAAGAGAAUAUAGUAAUACAUAUUUCAUAGAAUUGUAAUGAGAAUUAAUUUAAUUUUUGCAAUGUGCUUUAUAAAUGGUGAAGCAUUACUUUUAGGUUUAAUAAAGUUUAAAUUAGAGUUCCCUUUGUGGAGCAGUGGAAACAAAUCCGACUAGAAACCGUGAGGUUGCAGGUUUGAUCCCUGGCCUUGCUCAGUGGCUUAAGGAUCUGGCAUUACCGUGAGCCGUGGUAUAGGUGGCAGACGUGGCUUAGAUCCCACGUUGCUAAGGCUGUGGCUGUGGCUGUGGCUGUGGCUGUGGCUGGCAGCUGUAGCUCCGAUGAGACCCCUAGCCUGGGAAACUCCUUACGCUACAGGUAUGGCACUAAAAGGCAAAAAAAAAAGGUUAAAUCAUCCUUAAGGACAGCUGGAAGUAUAUUUACAGGCAGAGAAGGCGGAUUUUUUUAGUCCUACUCCAUGCCAGGGAUUUUGCUAGUUGCUUUAUUGAGAAGAUAUAAAAAUAUAAGCCCUAUAAUCUUUAAUGUCAAAAUAGCUCUAUAUUCUUUGAUUCAGCCCUAUCUAAUAAAAACCAUGCUGAUAAUCAGAGGCUAUAAGGGAUCUUAUCAGCAAAUGUUAAUGAAAAUUAGGGAGGAUAAAAGAUUGUGGACUCAGGUCACAGCAGGAAGCAGACUUUUGAACUCUAAAGUCAUUUACUUCUCAUUGAUAAAGAUAAAAUUUUGGAAUGCUUGCAAGGCAUUUGACCUAGUUGCAGACNAGGAGUUCCCGUCGUGGCGCAGUGGUUAACGAAUCCGACUAGGAACCAUGAGGUUGCGGGUUCGGUCCCUGCCCUUGCUCAGUGGGUUAACGAUCCGGCGUUGCCGUGAGCUGUGGUGUAGGUUGCAGACGCGGCUCGGAUCCCGUGUUGCUGUGGCUCUGGUGUAGGCUGGUGGCUACAGCUCCAAUUCGACCCCUAGCCUCGGAACCUCCAUAUGCCACGGGAGCGGCCCAAAGAAAUAGCAAAAAAGACAAAAAAAAAAAGUUUCCCUUAAGAUAAGGUACUUCAAAAGUUUAGUGGCCUCACCUAUGAACAUAACAAAUAAUUCUGAAGCUAUAUAUUCUAGUUGUUUGCAUGGAAAAAGUAUAUUAUGAUUCACAAGUGUUUGCUGGCCCUCCACAGAGGAGGUUUAUAAUUUCAUGACCAGUUGAUAACAGGAUCAGCAAUCAAGUGAGAACAGAAAUGACUGAAUUCUAUUUCAAGCAGAAAAUUUAAGCAUCAGCACAGACUUUCUCUUUGUUAUGAGUUCAACAAUGUUUUGUAUCAUGAAAAUUGCAGAGGGCUCAAAGACACCAUGAAGAAGAGGCCACAGAGGUCUAUAGAGCCAUAGACCACCCCAUGAUGGACACACAAUUAAUGACAGAUCUUUGUUGUUGCAGACCACUGAGAUUUUAGAGUCAUUUGUCCCUGCAGUCUAUCCUGACCUAUUUUUACUCAGUGUUCCCCUCGCAAUCUGUAACUUCAUUUGUAUAUAAGAUAUUUAAAAUUCAUUGUUACUUUGCUAGUCAGAGAGUAUCAUAUUUUGUAUCUGACUUUCUUCCUUCAAAACGCAUGGUGACUGACACUGAUUAUUUUGUAAAACAAUGUGAAGGAUUUUUUUCUUCAACAGCAACUCUACCUGGUUCUAAAUUAAAUAGGAAGCCAACAAGGCAGGUUUCUUGUGUCCUAUAUAGGAAAAGAUUUGUGGGAUGAGUGGAUAAAAUAUAAUAACAAUUAAUUCAAGGAACAGCGACAUGUAAAUUGGUCCUUUUUGCAUAGUAUUAGUCUGUCCUUGCUAUAAAAUAAUUGUAUAAGAAACAACCUUAGAAUUUUGGUGGCUUAGAAAAUCAAUAAUUUUCCUUAUUCAUAGGUCUGUGGGACCCUUGAUAUGGCUCUACAUCUAACUGUGAGUACAGUUUAGAUAUGUUCCACAUGUUCCACAUUUUGAGAAAGUGGUAAUUCAGUGAAUUCUUUCUUCGUGUGGAACAAUAGAAGCUCAAUAGCGUAAGCCAAACCAUCCAACUAUAGUUUCUGUUUGCAUAUCUGUGCAUAUAUAAUUACUCGAAACAGGGCACAGAGCCAAGCUCAGUAUCAAAGAGGAGAAGGUAUAUUCUCUAUCUACUCUCCUAGAAGGCACAUAGCAAAGUGCAUGGACAUAACGUUAUAGUAUAAGGAGGGUGUAAAGAAUUGGAACAAAAAUACUAACUCAUCCACCAAAGAUGACUUGUUUUUGAAGAGAAAUUUAAAAGCAAAAACAAUAAACAGCAGUAAUCUCCUCUACAGUACUAAUUACCUCUGCUGAGAAUUUUACAGCAGUCUUGAGACUGAUCCAUUGAGGGUUGCUUAAACUUAAUUGUUGUAAUCAGUCAAAUCUCUGAAGCUGACUAACACAUGAUAUAGGAAUUUUUGCUAGGAAUAAAUGAUCUCUUUUAAAAAUCUAACUU
RNAcentral lists this long non-coding RNA (5894 nucleotides) under Sus scrofa (pig). Its description in RNAcentral is "lncRNA (ENSSSCG00015047275.1)". Lineage: Eukaryota; Metazoa; Chordata; Mammalia; Artiodactyla; Suidae. The record is from RNAcentral.